GGAAGCAGAACUCGAUUGGUAGAGUGUCUCUCUUUUAAAGAGAACGUUUCCGGUUCAAAUCCGGAUGCUUUCA
Molecule: transfer RNA, 73 nt
Filed under: Turbinellus floccosus
Lineage: Eukaryota; Fungi; Basidiomycota; Agaricomycetes; Gomphales; Gomphaceae
Description: tRNA-Lys
Rfam family: tRNA
About the family: Transfer RNA (tRNA) molecules are approximately 80 nucleotides in length. Their secondary structure includes four short double-helical elements and three loops (D, anti-codon, and T loops).
Source: RNAcentral